This 101-nucleotide ribosomal RNA is filed under the name Acanthosepion pharaonis. The record is from RNAcentral. Lineage: Eukaryota; Metazoa; Mollusca; Cephalopoda; Sepiida; Sepiidae.
CCAUGUUGAAACGUUGGUUCCCGUACGAUCACCGAAGUUAAGCAAUGUCGAACCUGGUCAGUACCUAGAUGGGUGACCGCUUGGGAAUACCAGAUGAUACA